CCUACGGGAGGCUGCAGUGGGGGAUAUUGCACAAUGGGGGGAACCCUGAUGCAGCGACGCCGCGUGGGUGAAGGAGUGCUUCGGCAUGUAAAGCCCUAUCGGCAGGGAAGAAGCAAGACGGUACCUGACUAAGAAGCCCCGGCUAAAUACGUGCCACCAGCCUCGGUAAUACGUAGGGGGCGAGCGUUAUCCGGUUUCACUGGGUGUAAAGGGAGGGUAGGCGGCCCUGCAAGCCAGGGGUGAAAGCCCGGGGCCCAACCCCGGGACUGCCCUGGGAACUGUGCGGCGAGAGUGCGGGAGGGGCAGGCGGAAUGCCGGGUGUAGCGGUGAAAUGCGUAGAUAUCAGGAGGAACACCGGCGGCGAAGGCGGCCUGCUGGACCGCAACUGACGUUGAGGCUCGAAAGCGUGGGGAGCGAACAGGAUUAGAUACCCUGGUAGUC
This 441-nucleotide ribosomal RNA is filed under the name uncultured bacterium. RNAcentral's name for it is "partial 16S ribosomal RNA". It matches the Rfam family "Bacterial small subunit ribosomal RNA", at positions 338 to 795 of the family's 1533-position model. The record is from RNAcentral.